RNAcentral lists this ribosomal RNA (253 nucleotides) under uncultured bacterium. RNAcentral describes it as "partial 16S ribosomal RNA". It matches the Rfam family "Bacterial small subunit ribosomal RNA", at positions 524 to 776 of the family's 1533-position model. The record is from RNAcentral.
UACGUAGGGGCCGAGCGUUGUCCGGAGUUAUUGGGCGUAAAGCGCGCGUAGGCGGCCUCGCGAGCCCGACGUGAAAGCCCCCGGCUUAACCGGGGAGGGUCGUUUGGGACGGCGGGGCUUGAGGGCGGGAGAGGGCGGUGGAAUUCCCGGUGUAGUGGUGAAAUGCGUAGAUAUCGGGAGGAACACCAGUGGCGAAGGCGACUUCCUGGCCUGUUCUUGACGCUGAGGCGCGAAAGCUAGGGUAGCAAACGGG